UGUAUCUAUUCUAUAGGCUUCAGAUCCUACGGAGCCACCUGAGAAGUGUGAAUGAAAACACGAUAAACAGAGAUUCUCAGAACAAAGAAGACCUCAGAAAGCUGAAACUCAAUUGCAACCUGAUAUGAAUACAGCAAGGAGAGCUUAACAAGAACUGUUACAGGCACACUUCCUGUAUACAGUGGAAAUUAUUCAGCUGACAGGCGGUACUUUAAUGAUCUUCAAACAAUACAUCACUUGCAGGAGAAAAAGCAACAGGUAAGACUGCCUCAGACCUUCCAUUUUAACAUCGCAUUUUCAGUUUCUUUGUAACUACUGGGAAACAGACUUUGAAGAUAGAAAAAUGACAGCAAAAAAUCUUGCAGCUGUUUUGACAAUAAGAAUAGGAAUAAAAAUUGUUUUCCUCAAUAUUAUGGAAGAAAAAGUCCUCUAAGUGUUCUACCAGAGACCUGCAGAGCCAUCACACUUGCAGCAUCUAAAUGCAGCAGUAGAUGCCCAAGAAGCAUUUAUUCUAUUGCGUCCAAUACCUGAAUACUGAACAUAAGCUCAAGACAUAGCACUAGUGACUCAAAUUCUCAGUACUUCAGGACAUGGCUAUGGAGGAACACUUUCCUGCUAUUGCUCUUUCUAACCAGUGUCAACCACUGCAAAUGCCACUAUCUACAAACAACAGUGAUUCUGAUUCUUCUCCUGUUUCAUUGUUCUUAGGGACACCUAAAAGGCUGAAAGAUGACUGGUGAACCUUGAACAGCAAGAUACAGAGCAAAGCAAUGCACUUCAACAGGAAAAUGCAAGUGCACAAUCAGAAAAAGUGGUAUCGAAACACAGCUAUUUAGAGAAGAAAAAAAAAAACCAAAACUGAGUAUCUAGAGAGAAUUUAAUUCCAGCAUUUUUUCA
This is a non-coding RNA of Coturnix japonica (Japanese quail), 897 nucleotides long. NCBI's taxonomy places the organism in Eukaryota, Metazoa, Chordata, Aves, Galliformes, Phasianidae. The record is from RefSeq and is a predicted model, not a curated record.